This 345-nucleotide ribosomal RNA is filed under the name uncultured archaeon. RNAcentral describes it as "bacterial SSU rRNA". It matches the Rfam family "Archaeal small subunit ribosomal RNA", at positions 345 to 703 of the family's 1478-position model. The record is from RNAcentral.
AAUCUUUGCAAUAGGCGAAAGCCUGACAAGGUUACUCUGAGUGAUCUCCGCUAAGGAAAUCUUUUGGCACCUUGGUGCAGAAUAAGGGGUGGCAAGCUGGCGUCAGCCGCCGCGGUAAUACCAGCACCCCGAGUGGUCGGGACGUUUAUUGGGCCUAAAGCAUCCGUAGCCGGUUCUACAAGUCCUCCGUUAAAUCCACCUGCUUAACAGAUGGGCUGCGGAAGAUACUAUAGAGCUAGGAGGCGGGAGAGGCAAGCGGUACUCGAUGGGUAGGGUAAAAUCCGUUGAUCCAUUGAAGACCACCAGUGGCGAAGGCGGCUUGCCAGAACGCCUCGACGGUGAGGG